This 468-nucleotide ribosomal RNA is filed under the name uncultured bacterium. RNAcentral's name for it is "partial 16S ribosomal RNA". It matches the Rfam family "Bacterial small subunit ribosomal RNA", at positions 28 to 507 of the family's 1533-position model. The record is from RNAcentral.
GACGAACGCUGGCGGCGUGCUUAAUACAUGCAAGUCGAACGGAAAGGCCCUGCUCUUGUGGGGUGCACGAGAGGCGAACGGGUGAGUAACACGUGAGUAACCUGCCCUUGACAUUGGGAUAACUUCAGGAAACUGGGGCUAAUACCGGAUAGGAGCUACUGAUGCAUGGUGGGGGAUGGAAAGUUUCGGCGGUUGGGGAUGGACUCGCGGCUUAUCAGCUUGAUGGUGGGGUAGUGGCUUACCAAGGCUUUGACGGGUAGCCGGCCUGAGAGGGGGGCCGGCCUCAUUACGACUGCGAUACGGCCCAGUCUCCUACGGGCCGCAGCAGUCGGGAGUAUUGCACAAUGGGCGGACGCCUGAUGCGGCAGCGCCGCGUGCGGGAUGACGGCCUUCUGGUUGUGAACCGCUUUCGCCGGAGACGAGGCGUGCUUGACGGUAAUGAGUAAGGAAGCACCGGCUAACUACGUG